Molecule: ribosomal RNA, 2307 nt
Filed under: Mycoplasma sp.
Lineage: Bacteria; Bacillati; Mycoplasmatota; Mollicutes; Mycoplasmatales; Mycoplasmataceae
Description: partial contains 16S ribosomal RNA, 16S-23S ribosomal RNA intergenic spacer, and 23S ribosomal RNA
Rfam family: Bacterial small subunit ribosomal RNA (bases 1-1486)
Source: RNAcentral
GGCUCAGGAUGAACGCUGGCUGUGUGCCUAAUACAUGCAUGUCGAGCGGAGUUCUUCGGAACUUAGCGGCGAAUGGGUGAGUAACACGUACUUAACGUGCCCUCUAGAUUGGGAUAACGAUGAGAAAUUAUCGCUAAUACCGGAUACUUAUUAGUUUGGCAUCAAACUAAUAUAAAAGGAGCGUUUGCUUCACUAGAGGAUCGGGGUGCGGAACAUUAGUUUGUUGGUAAGGUAAUGGCUUACCAAGACGAUGAUGUUUAGCGGGGUUGAGAGACUGAUCCGCCACACUGGGACUGAGAUACGGCCCAGACUCCUACGGGAGGCAGCAGUAGGGAAUUUUCCACAAUGGACGAAAGUCUGAUGGAGCGACACAGCGUGCAGGAAGACGGCCUUCGGGUUGUAAACUGCUGUUAUAAGGGAAGAAAAAGCAGUAGAGGAAAUGCUAUUGCCUUGACGGUACCUUGUCAGAAAGCAACGGCUAACUAUGUGCCAGCAGCCGCGGUAAUACAUAGGUUGCAAGCGUUAUCCGGAAUUAUUGGGCGUAAAGCGUCUGUAGGUUGUGUGUUAAGUCUGGCGUUAAAACUUGGGGCUCAACCCCAAAUUGCGUUGGAUACUGGCACGCUAGAAUUGUGUAGAGGUUAGCGGAAUUCCUAGUGAAGCGGUGAAAUGCGUAGAUAUUAGGAAGAACACCAACAUGGCGAAGGCAGCUAACUGGGCACAUAUUGACACUGAGAGACGAAAGCGUGGGGAGCAAACAGGAUUAGAUACCCUGGUAGUCCACGCUGUAAACGAUGAUGAUUAGCUGAUAGAGAACUAUCGGCGCAGCUAACGCAUUAAAUCAUCCGCCUGAGUAGUAUGCUCGCAAGAGUGAAACUUAAAGGAAUUGACGGGGACCCGCACAAGCGGUGGAGCAUGUGGUUUAAUUUGAAGAUACGCGUAGAACCUUACCCACUCUUGACAUCUUCCGCAAUGCUAUAGAGAUAUAGCGGAGGCUAACGGAAUGACAGAUGGUGCAUGGUUGUCGUCAGCUCGUGUCGUGAGAUGUUCGGUUAAGUCCUGCAACGAGCGCAACCCUUAUCCUUAGUUAAAUGUUCUAGGGAGACUGCCCGAGUAAUUGGGAGGAAGGUGGGGACGACGUCAAAUCAUCAUGCCUCUUACGAGUGGGGCAACACACGUGCUACAAUGGAUAGUACAAAGAGAAGCAAUACGGUGACGUGGAGCAAAUCUCAAAAAACUAUUCUCAGUUCGGAUUGUAGUCUGCAACUCGACUACAUGAAGUCGGAAUCGCUAGUAAUCGUAGAUCAGCUACGCUACGGUGAAUACGUUCUCGGGUCUUGUACACACCGCCCGUCACACCAUGGGAGCUGGUAAUGCCCGAAGUCGGUUUUGUUAACUACGGAGACAACUGCCUAAGGCAGGGCCGGUGACUGGGGUGAAGUCGUAACAAGGUAUCCCUACGAGAACGUGGGGAUGGAUUACCUCCUUUCUACGGAGUACAUAAGUUACAAUUCAUUUUAGUAACAAUUACUAACUUUUAAGACCAUUUUUAUUUAUUAAUAUUUGAGUCAUGGCUUUCUUUAAUGGUCAGAAAGAUUUAUAUAUCUAGUUUUGAGAGAACUUCUCUCAAUUGUUCUUUGAAAACUGAAUAGUAAAGAUAAAUUAAUAUAACAACGACAUCAAUAAAAAUAAAUUAGUCAAUUUGUUUUGUGAUACCGAGUAAUUAUUUUAAAUAAUAAUUUAUUAAAAUGUCUUUGAAUACAUCAACAAUAGGAAAAUAUUGAACUUUUAAAUAAGUAAGAGUGAGUUGUGGAUGCCUUGGGUCUGGAAGUCGAUGAAGGACGUGAUUACCUGCGAUAAGCCUCGUGGAGCUGGAUAUAAGCUACGAUACGGGGAUUUCCGAAUGGGGAAACCUAAUUAGAGUAAUAUCUAAUUGCAUUAGAAUGAAUACAUAGUUCUAAUGACGAGACACGUUGUGAACUGAAACAUCUUAGUAGCAACAGGAAGAGAAAAUAAACAAUGAUUCCAUUAGUAGCGGCGAGCGAACUUGGAAGAGCCCAAACCAACAUUUAUGUUGGGGUUGUAGGACUAUCUACAUGAAGUUACAAAAUUUUGUUAUAGCAGAAAAAGUUGGGAAACUUUAGCAUAGAGGGUGAUACUCCCGUAUGCGAAAUGGCAAAAUCUUCUGAUAGUAUCCUGAGUAGGGCGGGGCACGUGAAACCCUGUCUGAAUCUGCCGGGACCAUCCGGUAAGGCUAAAUACUAACCAGACACCGAUAGUGAACUAGUACCGUGAGGGAAAGGUGAAAAG